CGUUAUAACCGGCGAUGUCCGAAUGGGGAAACCCGGUGCACUUCGGUGCAUCAUCGUUAGCUGAAUACAUAGGCUAACGAGGCGAACCGGGGGAACUGAAACAUCUAAGUACCCCGAGGAAAAGAAAUCAACCGAGAUUCCCCCAGUAGCGGCGAGCGAACGGGGAACAGCCCAGAGCCUGAAUCAGCUUGUGUGUCAGUGGAACGGUCUGGAAAGGCCGGCGAUACAGGGUGACAGCCCCGUACACGAAGGCACACAGGCUGUGAGCUCGAUGAGUAGGGCGGGACACGUGAUAUCCUGUCUGAAGAUGGGGGGACCAUCCUCCAAGGCUAAAUACUCCUGACUGACCGAUAGUGAACCAGUACCGUGAGGGAAAGGCGAAAAGAACCCCGGCGAGGGGAGUGAAACAGAACCUGAAACCGUGUACGUACAAGCAGUGGGAGCCUUCGUAAGAGGGUGACUGCGUACCUUUUGUAUAAUGGGUCAGCGACUUAUAUUCUGUAGCAAGGUUAACCGUAUAGGGGAGCCGAAGGGAAACCGAGUCUUAACCGGGCGUUAAGUUGCAGGGUAUAGACCCGAAACCCGGUGAUCUAGCCAUGGGCAGGUUGAAGGUUGGGUAACACUAACUGGAGGACCGAACCGACUAAUGUUGAAAAAUUAGCGGAUGACCUGUGGCUGGGGGUGAAAGGCCAAUCAAACCGGGAGAUAGCUGGUUCUCCCCGAAAGCUAUUUAGGUAGCGCCUCGUGAACUCAUCUCCGGGGGUAGAGCACUGUUUCGGCUAGGGGGCCAUCCCGGCUUACCAACCCGAUGCAAACUGCGAAUACCGGAGAAUGUUAUCACGGGAGACACACGGCGGGUGCUAACGUCCGUCGUGAAGAGGGAAACAACCCAGACCGCCAGCUAAGGUCCCAAAGUCAUGGUUAAGUGGGAAACGAUGUGGGAAGGCCCAGACAGCCAGGAUGUUGGCUUAGAAGCAGCCAUCAUUUAAAGAAAGCGUAAUAGCUCACUGGUCGAGUCGGCCUGCGCGGAAGAUGUAACGGGGCUAAACCAUGCACCGAAGCUGCGGCAGCGACACUAUGUGUUGUUGGGUAGGGGAGCGUUCUGUAAGCCUGUGAAGGUGUGCUGUGAGGCAUGCUGGAGGUAUCAGAAGUGCGAAUGCUGACAUAAGUAACGAUAAAGCGGGUGAAAAGCCCGCUCGCCGGAAGACCAAGGGUUCCUGUCCAACGUUAAUCGGGGCAGGGUGAGUCGACCCCUAAGGCGAGGCCGAAAGGCGUAGUCGAUGGGAAACAGGUUAAUAUUCCUGUACUUGGUGUUACUGCGAAGGGGGGACGGAGAAGGCUAUGUCGGCCGGGCGACGGUUGUCCCGGUUUAAGCGUGUAGGCUGACUUUCCAGGCAAAUCCGGAAGGUUAAGGCUGAGGCGUGAUGACGAGGCACCACGGUGCUGAAGUGACAAAUGCCCUGCUUCCAGGAAAAGCCUCUAAGCAUCAGGUAACAUCAAAUCGUACCCCAAACCGACACAGGUGGUCAGGUAGAGAAUACCAAGGCGCUUGAGAGAACUCGGGUGAAGGAACUAGGCAAAAUGGUGCCGUAACUUCGGGAGAAGGCACGCUGACAUGUAGGUGAAGCCCCUGCGGGUGGAGCUGAAGUCAGUCGAAGAUACCAGCUGGCUGCAACUGUUUAUUAAAAACACAGCACUGUGCAAACACGAAAGUGGACGUAUACGGUGUGACGCCUGCCCGGUGCCGGAAGGUUAAUUGAUGGGGUUAUCGCAAGAGAAGCUCCUGAUCGAAGCCCCGGUAAACGGCGGCCGUAACUAUAACGGUCCUAAGGUAGCGAAAUUCCUUGUCGGGUAAGUUCCGACCUGCACGAAUGGCGUAAUGAUGGCCAGGCUGUCUCCACCCGAGACUCAGUGAAAUUGAACUCGCUGUGAAGAUGCAGUGUACCCGCGGCAAGACGGAAAGACCCCGUGAACCUUUACUACAGCUUGACACUGAACAUUGAGCCUUGAUGUGUAGGAUAGGUGGGAGGCUUUGAAGCGUGGACGCCAGUCUGCGUGGAGCCGACCUUGAAAUACCACCCUUUAAUGUUUGAUGUUCUAACCUGGCGCCGUGAUCCGGCGUGGGGACAGUGUCUGGUGGGUAGUUUGACUGGGGCGGUCUCCUCCCAAAGUGUAACGGAGGAGCACGAAGGUCAGCUAAUCCUGGUCGGACAUCAGGAGGUUAGUGCAAUGGCAUAAGCUGGCUUGACUGCGAGAGUGACGGCUCGAGCAGGUGCGAAAGCAGGUCAUAGUGAUCCGGUGGUUCUGUAUGGAAGGGCCAUCGCUCAACGGAUAAAAGGUACUCCGGGGAUAACAGGCUGAUACCGCCCAAGAGUUCAUAUCGACGGCGGUGUUUGGCACCUCGAUGUCGGCUCAUCACAUCCUGGGGCUGAAGUAGGUCCCAAGGGUAUGGCUGUUCGCCAUUUAAAGUGGUACGCGAGCUGGGUUUAGAACGUCGUGAGACAGUUCGGUCCCUAUCUGCCGUGGGCGCUGGAGAAUUGAGGGGGGCUGCUCCCAGUACGAGAGGACCGGAGUGGACGCAUCACUGGUGUUCGGGUUGUCAUGCCAAUGGCACUGCCCGGUAGCUAAAUGCGGAAGAGAUAAGUGCUGAAAGCAUCUAAGCACGAAACUUGCCCCGAGAUGAGUUCUCCCUGAGACU
RNAcentral lists this ribosomal RNA (2698 nucleotides) under Cronobacter sakazakii. RNAcentral describes it as "bacterial LSU rRNA". It matches the Rfam family "Bacterial large subunit ribosomal RNA". The record is from RNAcentral. Lineage: Bacteria; Pseudomonadati; Pseudomonadota; Gammaproteobacteria; Enterobacterales; Enterobacteriaceae.